RNAcentral lists this ribosomal RNA (473 nucleotides) under uncultured bacterium. Its description in RNAcentral is "SSU rRNA". It matches the Rfam family "Bacterial small subunit ribosomal RNA", at positions 26 to 518 of the family's 1533-position model. The record is from RNAcentral.
AGAAUCAACGCUGGCGGCGUGCCUAACACAUGCAAGUCGAACGAGAAAGUGGAGCAAUCCAUGAGUAAAGUGGCGACCGGGUGAGUAACACGUGACUAACCUACCUUCAAGUGGGGGAUAACCUCGGGAAACCGGGGCUAAUACCGCAUAACAUCUUUGGAGUGGAAAUUCUGGAGAUCAAAGGAGCAAUUCGCUGGAAGAGGGGGUCGCGGCUGAUUAGCUAGUUGGCGGGGUAAUGGCCCACCAAGGCUUUGAUCGGUAGCCGGCCUGAGAGGGCGCACGGCCACACUGGAACUGAAACACGGUCCAGACUCCUACGGGAGGCAGCAGUGGGGAAUUUUGCGCAAUGGGGGAAACCCUGACGCAGCAACGCCGCGUGGAGGAUGAAGUCCCUUGGGACGUAAACUCCUUUCGACCGGGAAGAUGAUGACGGUACCGGUGGAAGAGCCCGGCUAACUCGUGCCAGCAGCCGC